Molecule: unclassified non-coding RNA, 146 nt
Filed under: soil metagenome
Description: partial internal transcribed spacer 1
Source: RNAcentral
UAAUAAGUGUUUUAUGGCACUUUUUAAAUCCAUAUCCACCUUGAUGUGCAAUGUCAGUCGAUCUUCUUCAUGGAGAUCGACCAAACAUCAACCUUUAUCUUUUAACUCUUUGUCUGAAAAAUAUUAUGAAUAAACAAUUCAAAAUA